This 573-nucleotide long non-coding RNA is filed under the name Callithrix jacchus (white-tufted-ear marmoset). Its description in RNAcentral is "lncRNA (ENSCJAG00000078153.1)". The record is from RNAcentral. Lineage: Eukaryota; Metazoa; Chordata; Mammalia; Primates; Cebidae.
CCUGUAACUCAUGUUUCAGCCAGAGAGGGAUCAGCCCUCCCCCAUGGCUAUCACCACUGACUCCUUUGCAGUACCUAGAGCAGAAUCCCGUCCAUGUUGCUACAGGAGAUGUUAGCUGUUGGGGACUGACUAUUGAUGAGGCCCCUCUGAACUAGGGGAAACUUGGGAGCAUGACUUUGGGCAUCUCUUCCUCAGUCUCAGUUUUAGGGAAAAAGGCAGGCACUGAAACCAACAAAAUGGCAAAGACGUUUUGACUGGUGGAGAAGAAAGUGGCUUACUCUGUUUGUCUUCAAUUGGCAGGAUGGAGAAAAUCAAAGCAAAGCAAAAGAAAAUUAGUGCUCUGCAGAGAGCCUGCAGGAGUUCUGACAAUUUGGCCGUUAGCUCGAACUGCCUGCCCAGAGAGGAAGCUGCGAGAAGGGCCUUCAUAAAAGGGGGUCCCCAAGACCCAGAAUCCAGGAAGAGAUGGAGCCUACUCAGGAAAUUCCCAUUCAGCCAAAAGCAACUCAGCCAAGGGAUGCUGAAGAAACAGCUGGAGAAAGCCAGGAAGCAGGUCGUUAAAAGGUAAUUAAGAGA